This is a long non-coding RNA of Trachemys scripta elegans, 2895 nucleotides long. RefSeq lists it as uncharacterized. The transcript is spliced from 3 exons. NCBI's taxonomy places the organism in Eukaryota, Metazoa, Chordata, Testudines, Emydidae. The record is from RefSeq and is a predicted model, not a curated record.
CUCGGCCGCGGGGCGGUGCAAGGGGGGCUGGGGCAGCGCGGUGCUCGGCUGUCCCCUUUAGCCGCGGGGUGUCGGGCACCUGGCAGCUCUGCACCCCGCUGUAGCGCCCCUGGCUAAGCUCCCGUGCCGUGCGGGGCCUAGCGUGGUGCAGAGCAGCGAGCCCGCUGUGACAUAGUUCCGGCUCCACGGGGGAACGAGCCGGGACCUAGAUCCCGCUAGUGGCCCCGCUCCCCUGGGCAGCUCGCUGUGCUCUGCAGCGGCCCGGUUCCUCUCAGCUAUUUCCCCUGCCGGCAGCCUGCAGUGUCACUGAUGUCUGCUCUUGCACACCAGGCUUUGGGAAUGUACCUGUUGGACAAUCAGAAGGGCUACCUCAUUCCUAUGGAUCCCAAAUUGGAAUUCAACAUACAUAUUUUGUACUAAUACACUUUAUACACUGUUUAAAGGAAAACACCUGUGUACUAACAAUAUGUCAUAUGUUAACUUGAAACCAUGGGCAGAGACAUUAUGUAAUUUUUAGACUAUUGGCUACUGUGCUUAUCUUGUCUCGCUGCUAGACCUAUCCAGGUGCUCGGGACCUCCUACCCUGUCAUUUCCCUCCACCCAUAAAAAUUCCAUAUAAUUCAUUAUAGUUAAUUAUUUGGCAGGGUCUCUGAGCCUAAUAAGCAAAGCGCCACUCCGCCAGCCCAGUGCAUAAUAAACCCAUGUGCUUGAUUCUACCUGGUGUCCAUUUUGUUCCUUGAUAUUGUUUCUGUUUCUCCCCGUUUGGCUAAUUAUUAUAUGUGACUUAAUUUACAAAGUUAUUAAUCAUUUCAUAUCAGUGCCCCUUUCCACUAUUGAGUUUACAGAAUGGGAAGCCAAAAAUGGAAGCUAUUAUAGCAAAUAGUUAAUUUAAUCCAUUUUUGUAUGUCCAAUACUCUGAACACCUUAUGCUGAAGACUUUGUACUCUUGAUAAGGUGCACUUCGAUGGUUUCAGUGCCUCCCACAUGGAUAUAUCACGGACAGCGGUAAAGUGACUGCUGUUAUAUUUCAAAAUUUAAGGGGGGAAAGCCCACAUCAUUAAAUUAGUAAUAUUUAUACUAUAAAGAUAGUAAUAUUCAUUUGCUGUUGAUAAGUAGCCAGUUUUUCCAUUCCUCUUUGUAGUACAGUAGAUUGAGCAGAAAAUUUUCCUGACAAAUUUAAAUCCUCUUAAAGAUGAGCAUUGCUUUUCUAAGUGGCCACUGAUGACUAACUAAUUUCCACUAAAAGUGGUUUUGGAAAGCUAGAGCCUUCUUCUAUCAUUCUUCUGGGAUUGGGGAAUAUUUGCCUGAACUGCAAGAAACUAAUUGUUGGAAAUUCCCUAAUGCAUUCUUAACCUCUUUAAUUGUUAUUGUGCAGCUGGAAAAUAGGCAGAGAGGCAGUUCCAUGCAUUCAGUAUCAUCUCUGUUGCAAUUACUCCUUAUAUUAAAGCCGGUAACAGGCCACAGCGGGGCUGUCUAGACUAGAGUUUAACCCAUGUUAACUGAUUCCAAAUUAACCUGAGUUAGUUAGUUAGUAAUUGUAAAUGCUAGUCCAAACACUCCACAAAUAUUUGUUGGUGUGUUACUUCAGGUUGAAUGAAAUGUUUGUUGGUUGCCAUGACAUCAACAUGUAUGCAGGUGUAUAACAAACAUUUGUUCCAGGAUACUAAGACUGUUGGCUUACCCUAGGCUGAGUCCUAGGCCACGUCUACAAUAGAAGUGCUUUGCUGGUAUAGCUAUACCACUGUACUAUACUAGCAAAGCAUGCCUAGUGCAGAUGCAGCUAAUACUGGCAAAACUGCUUUUGCCAGCAUACUUAUUUCAGCCCCCUCCACGCUACUCUUUCACCCUUACCACCUUCUCUCCCCUCCUCCCACCCCCAGGAGAAACACACGAUACCAGCAAAAGCACAGCUUUGCCAGUAUAACUGCAUCUCCAGUAGGGGCUUUUCAUGUACAGCUGUGCUGAUCAGUGAUUACACCUAUUCACAAUGUUGACAUAGCAUUGUGGCCUGGACCACAUGUUUGUGGAGCAUCUAGAGUAGACUUUACACAUGUGGUACUACUACUUAUCAAGUUAAUUGGCAAUCAAUUAACUCAAACUAAAGCAGGCCCCCAAACUCUAGUCUAGACAUACCCAUCAGGGAGUCCUGGAUUGGAGUUAUGUUGGACACAGGAAAAAUGGCACUUCUUGUCAGGAAGUGUUAGGUACUGUGAUGUUCCCAGUUCUUAAUAGGCAGGGCCGGCUCUAGGUUUUUGCCAAUGCCAAAGCAAAAAAAAAAAAAAACCUCUCCGAGUGCCGCCCCUGGAAUUGUGCCACCCCUAGUACGUGCUUGGUUUGCUGGUGCCUAGAGCCCGUUAAUAGGUGUGUAAAGCAGCACCUUAACUGUGCAUUUCCUGGUUUUCCUAAGUUUGUGAUUUGUUUUUUCUUAUAAUGCUAACAUUCAUUUCAGGAAUAUGUGAGGAGACCUUAACUGAGUCCUUGUCAAUGAAGAUUUUGGUAAGUAAAUGUCCUCUUUUUUCUAUAAAGAUUUGAAUGAGUAAGGUUGUUGAGGCUUCUGAUAGCUCUCACAAAAAGAUGGGUAUAUUCUCUUGUAGCUAGGGUAUCCUGGCUCAGUGAAAGAAAUGUGGACUAGUGUGAUUAGAACAAUAGCUACAGAUAGCAUAGCCAAAAUCAUAGUGUGACAAUAUAUCCCAUAAUGCUUUAUGGGAAUAUGAUGUAACUGGAAUAUGUUUUAUGCUACCUGUGCCAUGUAACAUAUCUCUGUAAAGGUUAUGGUCUAAUGAAUCUGUUCAUCCUGUUUGUACACAUAUCAUUUUUGUACUUGAAGUUAUGAACAUUGGCUGUAUACUUGCUUGAUUUCUAAGUAAGCUUUGUAAGGCAUUUGGUCAGCUUCUU